This is a non-coding RNA of Merluccius polli (Benguela hake), 68 nucleotides long. The record is from the annotation of a GenBank genome assembly. Lineage: Eukaryota; Metazoa; Chordata; Actinopteri; Gadiformes; Merlucciidae.
GGUGAUAGCUCAGUGGCAGAGCAUUUCACUGCACUUGAUGUCCCCAGUUCAACUCUGGGUGUCCCCUA